This 235-nucleotide unclassified non-coding RNA is filed under the name Hevea brasiliensis (rubber tree). Lineage: Eukaryota; Viridiplantae; Streptophyta; Magnoliopsida; Malpighiales; Euphorbiaceae. The record is from RNAcentral.
GCUCAAGGAGAACGAGCACCCGUACCGGCGGGAGGAUCGGAAGCUGUGGGAGAAGCUGCCGCACGUUCCCGGGCUGGACGGGAGGCCGAUGCCGCGGAAGGCGAUCAAGACGAGGAGGGAGUCGGAUGAUAAGUUUUGGGACUUUGCGAGGCAGUUCUUUUUGGGGCUGUGGGGGUUCCGGCAGCGGCCGUACCCUCCCGGAAGGCCGAUUGAUGUUGCACAGGCGAUCGGGUAU